Rattus norvegicus (Norway rat) is the source of this 69-nucleotide non-coding RNA. The record is from Rfam. Lineage: Eukaryota; Metazoa; Chordata; Mammalia; Rodentia; Muridae.
GGGGAUUUGGCUCAGUGGUAGAGCGCUUGCCUAGGAAGCGCAAGGUCCUGGGUUCGGUCCCCAGCUCCG